UGUGCAUUACGUGAUUGCUCUGCUGGUACGGUAGAUCUCAGACCUCCUGACAGACACAGAGCCCCACAGAAUUAAAUCAUGAGU
This is a long non-coding RNA of Etheostoma spectabile (orangethroat darter), 84 nucleotides long. RefSeq lists it as uncharacterized. NCBI's taxonomy places the organism in Eukaryota, Metazoa, Chordata, Actinopteri, Perciformes, Percidae. The transcript is spliced from 3 exons. The record is from RefSeq and is a predicted model, not a curated record.